GGAAGCAGCUUGCUGCUUUGCUGUCGAGUGGCGGACGGGUGAGUAAUGUCUGGGAAACUGCCUGAUGGAGGGGGAUAACUACUGGAAACGGUAGCUAAUACCGCAUAACGUCGCAAGACCAAAGUGGGGGACCUUCGGGCCUCAUGCCAUCAGAUGUGCCCAGAUGGGAUUAGCUAGUAGGUGGGGUAAUGGCUCAUCUAGGCGACGAUCCCUAGCUGGUCUGAGAGGAUGACCAGCCACACUGGAACUGAGACACGGUCCAGACUCCUACGGGAGGCAGCAGUGGGGAAUAUUGCACAAUGGGCGCAAGCCUGAUGCUGCCAUGCCGCGUGUAUGAAGAAGGCCUUCGGGUUGUAAAGUACUUUCAGCGAGGAGGAAGGCAUUAAGGUUAAUAACCUUAGUGAUUGGCGUUACUCGCAGAAGAAGCACCGGCUAACUCCGUGCCAGCAGCCGCGGUAAUACGGAGGGUGCAAGCGUUAAUCGGAAUUACUGGGCGUAAAGCGCACGCAGGCGGUCUGUUAAGUCAGAUGUGAAAUCCCCGGGCUCAACCUGGGAACUGCAUUUGAAACUGGCAGGCUUGAGUCUCGUAGAGGGGGGUAGAAUUCUAGGUGUAGCGGUGAAGUGCGUAGAGAUCUGGAGGAAUACCGGUGGCGAAAGCGGCCCCCCUGGACGAAGACUGACGCUCAGGUGCGAAAGCGUGGGGAGCAAACAGGAUUAGAUACUCCUGGUAGUCCACGCCGUAAACGAUGUCGACUUGGAGGUUGUGCCCUUGAGGCGUGCUUCCGGAGCUAACGCGUUAAGUCGACCGGCCUGGG
Molecule: ribosomal RNA, 815 nt
Filed under: uncultured bacterium
Lineage: Bacteria
Description: bacterial SSU rRNA
Rfam family: Bacterial small subunit ribosomal RNA
Source: RNAcentral